AUGCGUUUAAUCCCACGCAACAAACUCCUCUGUGCUGGGUUGUGAUCUUAAAAAGGAGCUUUACUGUAUAGUGUUACAGUAGGAAUACCUACUAGAUCGAGGAUUCGGAACAGUACUAUCCUGUUUAUAUUGACAUUCUUCUGUUAAGAUUUCCCGUUUGAGAAACCCUUUAAGAUCUGAGUAUCUCGGAAUUGAAAAUAGGACUUUAUUUGCAUCCCUUCCAUUUCAUAGGAAUACAGCUAAGGAUACCAUCAGCUCGCAUACUAUUUACGGGAAACAGAAGUAGGGCAAAGAGGAAAAGAGCAACUCCCUCUAUUAGAACAAUAUUCUCGAAUCGUUGCCCUUUUAUUCAUGAAGAAAGAAAACACAUCGGUCUAUCUAAAGCAACAAAAUUCGUUCUAUCUUUCUUUCUCUCCUAUUAAUAAAACUGGACUUCUCCUCUGCUCCUAUCUUAGCGCGACGGAGAAGCCAGCACUGAGAGAAGACCUCCCUUUCAAAGUCCAUCGCCUGCACUUGAACCGGAUACCUACUAUUUAUUUUAUUGAACUAGACGAUCAGCGGACUUUUAUAUCAUAUCACCAACAACGGGUUUCGCCCACAGUACAGAGAUGAUCUCAAUCGCAUCGGCAUAAAGGUCCGGAUUCCACUUCAAAAGGAUUUACGCGCGAAUUCAACUAUAGACAAAGGUCCGGAUUCCACUUCAAAAGGAUUUACGCGCGAAUUCAACUAUAGACAUAUCUCUUUGGCGACCCAGGGACGGGGAUUCAUCAAUCCCGGGGUUCGAGGGAGACUUUAGAACCCCUAUAUAUGAGUCUCGAAACCAUUAUUUAUACAUUUCUCGAUGACAGAGAUCAUCUUUAAGGAGAAUAAACAUUGGUCCUUUAUUUAAUAACCCCGAUAUUAUCAAAACCAUGAUUUCCUUAUUUCUCGAUGGCAUAGGUUCCAGGGAAGGAAAACAGUCCGGUCCUUUUUCACCCCGAAAUUCGAGAGUAGCCGUAUAAACCAAUACCGGCAGAACCACCCAAACUCGGCUCAAAGCAGGAACAAAGACAUCUAGAAAGCCCACAUCACGUGGGGACUUGGCCUUGGUGGGACAUUCAACCGACAUACACAACCAAAUAAUAAUAGGUUUUAGCCAUGUAUUCCGCUACACCGCCCUAUUGAUCUACGCUUUCGAAGCAACCACCGGUACCAUUUUCACACAACAGAGCCGACUUACUUAUUACAUUUAUAGGACAG
Molecule: RNA transcript, 1239 nt
Organism: Arabidopsis thaliana (thale cress)
Lineage: Eukaryota; Viridiplantae; Streptophyta; Magnoliopsida; Brassicales; Brassicaceae
Exons: 1
Source: RefSeq